UACGUAGGUGGCAAGCGUUGUCCGGAAUUAUUGGGCGUAAAGCGCGCGCAGGCGGUCCCUUAAGUCUGAUGUGAAAGCCCACGGCUCAACCGUGGAGGGUCAUUGGAAACUGGGGGACUUGAGUACAGAAGAGGAAAGUGGAAUUCCAUGUGUAGCGGUGAAAUGCGUAGAGAUGUGGAGGAACACCAGUGGCGAAGGCGACUUUCUGGUCUGUAACUGACGCUGAGGCGCGAAAGCGUGGGGAGCAAACAGG
This 253-nucleotide ribosomal RNA is filed under the name uncultured bacterium. Its description in RNAcentral is "partial 16S ribosomal RNA". It matches the Rfam family "Bacterial small subunit ribosomal RNA", at positions 524 to 776 of the family's 1533-position model. The record is from RNAcentral.